UUUGUUACACAAGCGCCAGAGCUUGGUCUUGCGCGGGAGAAAAGGGAAAGCCAAUGAUUGCCUGUCAAGGCUAGGCUGAACCGGAUCACGGCAGAUGUAAGCUGACGAGGUGGAGGUGUUCGAAAUGUUCGGCGGGGACCUCCCGGUGAUGCACCAGAGCCGUAAACGAAAGCGGAAAAUGGAAGGGCGACCUUUCACACAACGCUCUCGUGGGUGCAGCA
This 221-nucleotide non-coding RNA is filed under the name Paenibacillus wynnii. Its description in RNAcentral is "GlcN6P sequence". It matches the Rfam family "glmS glucosamine-6-phosphate activated ribozyme aptamer". From Rfam's summary of the family: This entry contains a glucosamine-6-phosphate activated ribozyme that is found in the mRNA for GlmS. GlmS is an enzyme that uses fructose-6-phosphate and glutamine to generate glucosamine-6-phosphate. The ribozyme catalyses self cleavage of the glmS mRNA that is thought to regulate GlmS activity. The record is from Rfam by way of RNAcentral. Lineage: Bacteria; Bacillati; Bacillota; Bacilli; Caryophanales; Paenibacillaceae.